AGAGUUUGAUCCUGGCUCAGAACGAACGCUGGCGGCGUGCUUAACACAUGCAAGUCGAACGCGAAAGGGACUUCGGUCCUGAGUAGAGUGGCGCACGGGUGAGUAACGCGUAAGUGAUCUACCCCUGUAUUUGGGAUAACUAUGGGAAACUGUAGCUAAUACCGGAUACGUUCAUGUAGUUGCGAUUAUGUGAAGAAAGAUGGCCUCUGAUUCAAGCUAUUGUACAGGGAGGAGCUUGUGUACCAUUAGCUAGUUGGUAGGGUAAUGGCCUACCAAGGCAACGAUGGUUAGCGGGUCUGAGAGGAUGAUCCGCCACACUGGAACUGAAACACGGACCAGACUCCUACGGGAGGCAGCAGUGAGGAAUAUUGCGCAAUGGGGGCAACCCUGACGCAGCGACGCCGCGUGGAUGAUGAAGGCCUUCGGGUCGUAAAAUCCUGUCAGAUGGAAAGAAGUGUGAUGUGGUUAAUACCCAUGUCAUUUGACGGUACCAUCAGAGGAAGCACCGGCUAACUCCGUGCCAGCAGCCGCGGUAAUACGGAGGGUGCAAGCGUUGUUCGGAAUUACUGGGCGUAAAGCGCGCGUAGGCGGUUUGUUAAGUCAGAUGUGAAAGCCCAGGGCUUAACCUUGGACGUGCAUUUGAAACUGGAAGGCUAGAGUACUGGAGAGGGUGGUAGAAUUCCACGUGUAGCGGUGAAAUGCGUAGAGAUGUGGAGGAAUACCAGUGGCGAAGGCGGCCACCUGGACAGUAACUGACGCUGAGGCGCGAAAGUGUGGGUAGCAAACAGGAUUAGAUACCCUGGUAGUCC
Molecule: ribosomal RNA, 809 nt
Filed under: uncultured bacterium
Lineage: Bacteria
Description: bacterial SSU rRNA
Rfam family: Bacterial small subunit ribosomal RNA
Source: RNAcentral